Molecule: ribosomal RNA, 465 nt
Filed under: uncultured bacterium
Lineage: Bacteria
Description: partial 16S ribosomal RNA
Rfam family: Bacterial small subunit ribosomal RNA
Source: RNAcentral
GACGAACGCUGGCGGCGUGCUUAACACAUGCAAGUCGAACGGAAAGGCCCCUUCGGGGGUACUCGAGUGGCGAACGGGUGAGUAACACGUGAGUAACCUGCCCUUGACUUCGGGAUAACUUCAGGAAACUGGGGCUAAUACCGGGUAGGAAUCCUUGCUGCAUGGUGGGGGUUGGAAAGCUUCGGCGGUUUUGGAUGGACUCGCGGCUUAUCAGCUUGUUGGUGGGGUAGUGGCUUACCAAGGCUUUGACGGGUAGCCGGCCUGAGAGGGCGACCGGCCACAUUGGGACUGAGAUACGGCCCAGACUCCUACGGGAGGCAGCAGUGGGGAAUAUUGCACAAUGGGCGGAAGCCUGAUGCAGCAACGCCGCGUGCGGGAUGACGGCCUUCGGGUUGUAAACCGCUUUCAGCAGGGGCGAAGCUUGUGGUGACGGUACCUGCAGAAGAAGCACCGGCUAACUACGUG